CAUUUCUCUUAUCGAUCAGCUAAACUUCACUGGGUCAUCGUUUUGCUAAAAUAUUCUAGGAAGGAGCGGACACCUUGCACGCCUACUCCACUCUACUUAAAAACAAAAACGCAAAAAAUACUUGUGUUGAGUCCCCACGCCUCUGUGUGAAAUUACAGUGCCUAUUCCUUAAUUAAGGAGGGAAUUAAUGUUUCAAGAGGCUUUCUGGCUUUCACGAUCAGUACUGCAAUUCCAUUUCACAAAUAACAGCUUUCAUGAGUACCCAAAAAGAUUGGUCAUCAUGUCCUUCAACAGCAACAUGGAAAUAUGACGCUUUCCUCAGUUUCAGAGGCAAUUUUCUACAAAGUGGAUCCAUCUGAUAUACGGAUACAAAGGAACACAGUUCGAGCCUUUGUUAAACAUGAAAUCCGUUUUAAGCAGAAUCUAAAGGAGGUGCAAAGGUGGAAAGAUGCUUUGAAAGAAGUUGCCAAUAUCUCUGGAUGGCAUUUACAAAAUAGGAUUGUUGGACUUGUUCAUGAGGAGAAACUGUCACAUGGCCAAGAGAGAAGACAAGUGCAUGCACGUAUGCUUCUGAUUUUCACUCGAUCUAAUAGAUUGCAGGGACCUGGUUAGGGAGCUAUAAUCUCCUGAAGUGGCUGCUCAAAUUUCAACUGAUACACUGAUAUGGCCUCAUGUAACACAUGGACGAUAUUUGAUCAAAAUAGCCUACCAAUUGCUGCAUGCGUUGGAAGUAAGGGAUCAGGUAUUCAAAAGCCUAUGAUAUACAAGUGGUGGAUCAAAGUAACUGCUGGAGAGUGAGUACCAGCACUAGUGUAUCUAGUUGUGGAGGAGUUACUAACAGUUGAGGAGCACUAGCAGAGAGAUUGCAAAUGGAUUGGUUUUGUCCCUAUGCAGCAAAAUCAAGUUUUGGCAGGAAUAAUUAUUGUAGUCUGUUGUAGUUACUGCCAUUUGAAACUGAAUGGAAGCUCAAUCCCUGACCAUUCAAAGUGCAUUAACAAAGACUGAUUGAAGACCACUAGUGCAUGGAAGUUGGAAAACGCUAGUGGUUCAUAUAUGCUGUGCUUGGGGGAGUCACUGCAAAGGCAAUGGCCCUGCUACUCUCGCUUCAAAGUCUUAUGAACAUCUUUUGGGGCUUGUAACUUUACUACCAGCCAACUCUUACUGCAUUUUUGUACCAAAAAACCAAAGGCAGAAAAAAGGCUAUAUUUGCACCUUUUUUGGACUAAUUUAUGUCAAACGUCUGCAUGCAAUUUAUUAACAUUUUAAGAUAGGAAUUAAAAUUUCUCGUACUUGUUCAAAGUUUUGGUAUACUUUGAUUGUUGUUUUUAUUUUCUCCCACAAUGCAAAAUAUUAUAUUUUUUCUUGACA
Molecule: long non-coding RNA, 1368 nt
Organism: Quercus robur (English oak)
Lineage: Eukaryota; Viridiplantae; Streptophyta; Magnoliopsida; Fagales; Fagaceae
Exons: 5
Source: RefSeq, a predicted model, not a curated record